This 531-nucleotide ribosomal RNA is filed under the name uncultured bacterium. RNAcentral's name for it is "bacterial SSU rRNA". It matches the Rfam family "Bacterial small subunit ribosomal RNA", at positions 777 to 1314 of the family's 1533-position model. The record is from RNAcentral.
AAUAGAUACCCUGGUAGUCCACGCCCUAAACGAUGUCAACUGGUUGUUGGGGAUUUACUUCCUCAGUAACGAAGCUAACGCGUGAAGUUGACCGCCUGGGGAGUACGGCCGCAAGGUUAAAACUCAAAGGAAUUGACGGGGACCCGCACAAGCGGUGGAUGAUGUGGUUUAAUUCGAUGCAACGCGAAAAACCUUACCCACCUUUGACAUGGUCGGAAUCCUGCAGAGACGCAGGAGUGCUCGCAAGAGAGCCGACACACAGGUGCUGCAUGGCUGUCGUCAGCUCGUGUCGUGAGAUGUUGGGUUAAGUCCCGCAACGAGCGCAACCCUUGCCAUCAGUUGCUACGAAAGGGCACUCUGAUGGGACUGCCGGUGACAAACCGGAGGAAGGUGGGGAUGACGUCAAGUCCUCAUGGCCCUUAUAGGUGGGGCUACACACGUCAUACAAUGGCUGGUACAAAGGGUUGCCAACCCGCGAGGGGAGCCAAUCCCACAAAGCCAGUCGUAGUCCGGAUUGCAGGCUGCAACUCG